Molecule: long non-coding RNA, 3917 nt
Organism: Mauremys mutica (yellowpond turtle)
Lineage: Eukaryota; Metazoa; Chordata; Testudines; Geoemydidae
Exons: 3
Source: RefSeq, a predicted model, not a curated record
AAAGUUUUUUAUAUACAUCUUUUUUCUACUUCACGCUGCAUUAGCUGUCACCAACAAUAGCUUGGCUUGUUGUUCCAGUGCCAGCAUUUAAAGUGGGUUUUAAAGUUUGUUCUCCAUCCCUGAAUAAACACCACACAUACAGACCCUUUAAUAAGGUUAGAUUUUUUUAAAAUGCAAUAGGGAGAUGUCACCAUGGAGAUCAGUCCACACUAAGACCAUCCAAGUUGCCAACUUGUCUCCUCUAAUUCAGGAUGACUGUUCUUCUGGAAAAGUAAAAGUGUGGGGGUAUAUGACUGUGUCCAUGUGCACAUGUAACUGUAAUUACAAGGAUUAUAAGAAGCAAUCAGAAAACAAGAUUUGGGAAGAUCCAAAAAAUCAUUCAUGCCGUUAAGAAUGUCAUUAUGAAUUGCAAUCACUAAAAGAAAAAUCCCACCCCAACUUCUGCUGUCAUAAAUAUCCUCCCAUCCUUAGGCAGCAGAACCUACGCAGAAGGGAGAGGGCUGAUUUGGGGUGAUGAUGUAGAGCAUGUUCCCACUGCAUGGCUCCCACAGGGCAAGGACAGGUGGGGGCUUUGCAUAAUUAGGCCAGGAGACUGGUGUUUCGUCUAUGGAUCCUGUGGUCCUCCUCCCAUACUAGGGCUGUGUUAGGGGCAAGCAAGAAUACUUUUUCCAUAAGGCUGAAGAAUAUUCUGCAGAGUGGCUCCUGGUAGGAUUGGGAAGGAAGAUGUCUUUCCUCUCACCACUUUCCCCCUGUGUCUUUCUGCAGGGCCCAGACCAGCUGCUCAUGCUGGGUUCUGUGAAGAUUUGGCUUUAAACACCUAGUCAUGCAGCCUCUUCUCAUGUGAAUAACGACUAGAGCAUCAGACCACUAGUGAGGAAUGAAAUGUGCAUGUAUUAAUUCUCAGAAUAAGCUACUGUACAAUGCAUUUCUAUUCAUGGGAAUGAAUGAGGUUCUAUUGUGAGUUACAAAUACCAGGUAAAAUGAGGUAAGCAGUGUAAACACUAGGUGUGUGAUCCUGCCAAGUGUCUCAGCAAGAUGCAGCAACCUCAUUUCUCAUCAAGAUUCAUGAAACUGCAAUUCCCAUUGAAAGAGGCACUCGGCAUGUUGCAGAGACAAGUCCAUAACAUGUGGUAGAAAAUUUAUUUAUUGUUUUCAGUCAAAAUACAUGCAAUCCCCAUGAUAGCAGUAAUCAAUUCAGAUGUACAAGGAGGUUUAGCUUUUGGUUUACCUUAGCCACUUGCAGAGUGCAAGUUGUCCCUUUCCUGAUACAGAUUUCUAAUUAAACAUGUGACCUAUCAGUCUAUUUCAUCCUCAGUGCCAAACCUGUUAUCUGCAGGGCCCUGCUAUGCACUUUCACCUUCAUCAAGAGAGGUAAGCAUUUCUUUCAUAGACUUUCUUGAUCUUGAAUCAAUGAAAUCAGUGACAGUUUUCUCACCAUCUUGAAUAGGAACAGGAUGGCCCUUUGAUCUCCACUGGUUCCUUCCCUCCCCCACAUCUUUUCAUCCUUCCUCAACUGUUCCCAGUACUGAUCGUCCCCAUUUUCCUUCACAAUGUGUUCUUUCUGUCUCUCUCUCAUCCUACUGCUUCCUUUGCUUGCAAAUAAUGUUAAACUUCUUUGCUUAAGACUGCUUACAUUUUGCUUGUCUAUCAUAUUAAAAACUCUUCUGUCUCAUCCCACACUCUUUUCCUGUGUGAGAAAAAGUGACUGAAUGUUGGGCACAAUUCUGUAAGGUGAGGAGCACCUCUUACAAAACGCAGAGGACACUCAACUCCCAUCAAAGUAUAUGGGAGUUAAGAAUGUUCUGUACCUCCCAGGAUCAAGCCCAUUAUUUCUGAUGACUGUCGGGCCCAGAUUUUAUUUCUAUCCCUAACUCAAGGCAGUGGUUGAGGUUGGUUCUUAAGCCACAUUAAUAUUAUUUCAUUCAAGGGAUAGGGGGCAUGGGUCAGCAUUCAUGUCGCACUCCCCAUCAGUACCCAGCCCGGGGGAGCUGAUGAUCCAACCAGCAGACCAAAUUUGAUGUUGAAUCCUGGUCACAUGGCACCUGAGGGAAGUUGAGCAUAUGCAAGAAGUUUCAAGAGACGGAAGAGAAAACACAAAAAUGAAACCCAUGAGCUACAAUUAACAAGACACCAGGAGAAUAUUUAAGGGUAUCUUCAGAUGACUGCAUUAUUAAUUGUAUUCCUCUGGAUCUGAAAUCAAGAAACAUUAAGGUGUAAAAAGAAAAAUUGUCAACUGAAGAAUGUUUUAAAAACCUUCAAAGUAUAUCCAGCUGUCUGGGUACAAAAGAACGGAGGAAGGAGAGAGUUGCUAUUUCCUCACAGACCCUGACAACAUUACAUGAAAAAUGCUGCAAGAAACCACUGGAAUGCAAAGAAAACCUUCCGCUUGCAACAUUUUUAGUCUAUAAUACCUUGCCAACAGUUGUUCCAAGUGUUUUACAAACAUUGGUUGUAUCAGCUGAUAGCAGAAAAUAAGUCUUUAGCUCAGCUGAGGCUGAUCUGGUGCACUAUAGAAUGAUUUCUCCCCAGUGUGGACAGGAAGUUGCAAGCAUGGAAGCUGUACAAAUGUACUGCCUCAGAUUUAAGAAUUACCCCCAAUCCUAUUUCCAACAAGAGCAGCGAGGAUUAUGGGAAAAGUGCUUCAGAAGUCCCAGAAUGCACAGAUACAACAGCGACGGCAAGAGAAGAUGCGUGAGAAAAAUCACUUUUUGUAUGAAAAGAAAAUUUGGAUUUUAAAAAAUGGGUUUCCACACUAGCAGGUGUUGAAUAAAUUUUCAAGGGCACUGUGCAUGUGAAAAGAUGUUUUAACCUACUCAAGCUAUUAGGAUAAGAUUUGAAAUAGUUCAGACCUUUUUUUAUAUAACACUUGCGAAAUAAAUGAAAAAACAGGCCUUUCUGUAAACAAGACUAGUUCUUUGGUCCAGAUUUUGUUCUCUGAAUAUAGAUAAGGAUAUUCAAUUGUAUAACUUACAGAUUUUGAUGGCUAUUUCUUUUCCAGAGAUCAUAUGUGGUAACAGAUGCUAUUUUCUUAUGACACACACAAUAUGUUUGAAAUCCACUUUGUCAUAAAUUCCAUUCUUAAAAAAUAAAGGGAAAAAUGUUUUCUAAAAUCUAUAUUAUACCACAAGAUAAUGGCUGUGUGCACAAACAUACCUUUCUAUACAUAGGUAUGUGCAUGUGUAACCUAUGCCUGCUUGGUGUGGUGCUCUGUUCCCCUCUAGUGGCACCUAGCUUAGCUAGAGAUUGAUGAAUCUGCUACAGCCUUAGUUACAGGGAUGCUAGAACAAUUUGUAUAGUGGGGGCACUGAGAACCUGUAUAUGAUGGAAACCACUUCAAGCCAGGGGGUGCGGCAUAUCCCCUAGUUGCAGCACCUAUGCUUACCUAAGAGCCAGCUAGCUUUUUAGCUCAUGCAGUAGAGGCUCCCACCCUAAGCUUCAGAGGUCCUAGGUUCAGUCCUGUAUGCAGAUGAACAGGGUCUAUUGGUGUUACACAUGCAUGUGUAUGUGUACACAUACAUACAAACUAGCACCCCUAGCCGGAAUAGACUUACAUUCAUUCUUAAUUUUCUGCGCUCUGAAUAUUCCCAUUGAAGGCAGUAAGUCUAUGCAGGAUUGGGGUCAUGGACUAGAACCUUGAUAAACUGCAUACUUCAUAAUUACUACCAAAACUGGUGGUUUAUCCACUUAUUAGUAAAUAUUUAAUAGGAGACUGCUGCAAUGAGAUCUAGAUGUCCACAUUUUUACAAGAUAUUCUACAGUACCUUUACUUAGAGUGUAAGCUCUCCAAGGCAAGGACUGUCUUUCUGUAAUGUGUUUGUUCAAUGCCCACCAGAAUGGGGCCCCGAUCCAUGAUUGGGAUCCCUUGGGACUAUCACAACAUAAAUAAUUCAUAUUUGUAUAUUAUGAAGUGUUAUAAA